Non-coding RNA from Vicugna pacos (alpaca), 84 nucleotides. Lineage: Eukaryota; Metazoa; Chordata; Mammalia; Artiodactyla; Camelidae. The record is from RefSeq and is a predicted model, not a curated record.
GUGCACCUGAAAUGAAGCUGACUUGCUUUCCUGGAUGAACAUAUUUGGGAAAAGUAAGGAAUGUAAAAGGAACAAAACAGUUGU